This 275-nucleotide unclassified non-coding RNA is filed under the name uncultured bacterium. RNAcentral's name for it is "contains 16S-23S intergenic spacer region". The record is from RNAcentral.
CCCUCUAACUCGGGUAAAGCUUCCUCCUCAUGGUAGUUACCCACAGCCUUCUUCAAUAAAGACACAUGAAAAACCGGGUGCACUCUAGACCCAUCAGGUAGUUUGAGCCUGUAGGCCACUGCUCCUAUACGAGCUAUGAUAGGAUAAGGACCAAAAUACCUUGCUGCCAGUUUGGCAUGUAUCCUGCUCACCACAGAUUGCUGACGGUGGGCUCUCAAUUUGACAAAGACCCACUCUCCUAUUUCAAAACUCCUAUCACACCUUUUCUUGUCCGC